GGGUGUGACCAUACCAGCACAAACGCACCGAAUCCCAUCAGAACUCCGAAGUUAAGCGUGCUUCGACGAGAGUAGUACUAGGAUUGGUAACCCCCUGGGAAGUCCUCGUGUUGCACCCC
RNAcentral lists this ribosomal RNA (119 nucleotides) under Olea europaea subsp. europaea. Lineage: Eukaryota; Viridiplantae; Streptophyta; Magnoliopsida; Lamiales; Oleaceae. The record is from RNAcentral.